UGGCUCAGGAAGAACGCUAGCGGCAGGCUUAACACAUGCAAGUCGAGGGGCAGCGGGGAGGAAGCUUGCUUUCUCCGCCGGCGACCGGCGCACGGGUGAGUAACACGUAUGCAACCUGCCCCUGUCAGGGGGACAACCCGCCGAAAGGCGGGCUAAACCCGCGUACAUGCCACCGGGGCAUCCCGGAGGCAGGAAAGGCUUCGGCCGGACAGGGAUGGGCAUGCGGCGCAUUAGGCAGUAGGCGGGGUAACGGCCCACCUAACCGACGAUGCGUAGGGGUUCUGAGAGGAAGGUCCCCCACACUGGUACUGAGACACGGACCAGACUCCUACGGGAGGCAGCAGUGAGGAAUAUUGGUCAAUGGUCGGGAGACUGAACCAGCCAAGCCGCGUGAGGGAGGAAGGUACAGAGUAUCGUAAACCUCUUUUGUCAGGGAACAAAGACUGGGACGCGUCCCCGGAUGAGUGUACCUGAAGAAAAAGCAUCGGCUAACUCCGUGCCAGCAGCCGCGGUAAUACGGAGGAUGCGAGCGUUAUCCGGAUUUAUUGGGUUUAAAGGGUGCGCAGGCGGUCUGUUAAGUCAGCGGUCAAAGCCCGGGGCUCAACCCCGGCCCGCCGUUGAAACUGGCAGUCUCGAGUUGGAGAGAAGUAUGCGGAAUGCGCGGUGUAGCGGUGAAAUGCAUAGAUAUCGCGCAGAACUCCGAUUGCGAAGGCAGCAUGCCGGCUCCACACUGACGCUGAGGCACGAAAGCGUGGGUAUCGAACAGGAUUAGAUACCCUGGUAGUCCACGCAGUAAACGAUGAAUGCUGGCUGUCCGGGGGGACUGACCCCUGGGUGGCGAAGCGAAAGCGAUAAGCAUUCCACCUGGGGAGUACGCCGGCAACGGUGAAACUCAAAGGAAUUGACGGGGGCCCGCACAAGCGGAGGAACAUGUGGUUUAAUUCGAUGAUACGCGAGGAACCUUACCCGGGCUCAAACGGGGAGUGACUCAGGCAGAGACGCCUGUUUCCCACGGGACACUCCCCGAGGUGCUGCAUGGUUGUCGUCAGCUCGUGCCGUGAGGUGUCGGCUUAAGUGCCAUAACGAGCGCAACCCCCGCGUGCAGUUGCUAACAGAUAACGCUGAGGACUCUGCACGGACUGCCGGCGCAAGCCGCGAGGAAGGCGGGGAUGACGUCAAAUCAGCACGGCCCUUACGUCCGGGGCGACACACGUGUUACAAUGGGUGGUACAGCGGGAAGCCAGGCGGCGACGCCGAGCGGAACCCGAAAUCCACUCUCAGUUCGGAUCGGAGUCUGCAACCCGACUCCGUGAAGCUGGAUUCGCUAGUAAUCGCGCAUCAGCCAUGGCGCGGUGAAUACGUUCCCGGGCCUUGUACACACCGCCCGUCAAGCCAUGGGAGCCGAGGGCGCUUGAAGUGCGUCGCCGCGAGGCGCGCCCUAGAGCGAAAUCGGUGACUGGGGCUAAGUCGUAACAAGG
This 1478-nucleotide ribosomal RNA is filed under the name uncultured bacterium. RNAcentral describes it as "16S ribosomal RNA". It matches the Rfam family "Bacterial small subunit ribosomal RNA". The record is from RNAcentral.